UAUUCACAAAUCUUUCAAAUAAAUAUUUUCUCGAGGUCACUCAUUAGGUCACUCUAGUGUUUGUUUUGUUGUUGUAGCAUCAUAUAACAUUACUUUUUUAUAUAAAUAUGUCGUGGCAAUAGUUUUGAUUUGGGAUCUACGGAUGACUUCUGGAAUCGCACUCGUAUAAGCCAAAAGGAAGUGGUACCACUGCCAAAGUAGGAAUCAAAGUCAGGGUCUUUAUUAGCUUUGCGCGUGAGUACCUGAAAAUAUUGCAGCGCAUAUUGACUUUUGGGAAGAAAUUUCGGUAUAUUUAGUUUUAAGCUUCUUAACUUUGCAGCGUAUUGGUGAGCCCAAAGCUGGUGAAUGCUGAAGUUGAACAAGUAGAAUGGUAAAGUAAGAAUAUCAAGGAAGAAUGUGGAGUUGUCACUUAGUAAGUAUUUACAGUAGUGUUCGAGGAGACAUAAAAAGUAUGACAAAAGCGAAUUGUUUGCAGAAACUCAAAACUACGCAUUAAAAAAUUGUUCGUAUUAGUUACUUGAACACAAUAUCUCACAAUUUUUCAAUAAAAAUACUGUAAUAUUUAGUAAAUCAGUAGGUUAAUACGGACCAAAAAAUGAAAAUUAUUUUAAAUCGAAAAUUAAUAAACUUAAAUGUACUUUUCAAAUUGAUUCUUCAUACAUAAUAUGUAUAUCUACUUUCAGAAUGCCUUGCACAACCAAACACACAAUGAAUUAAUGAAAAUAUAUUAUAUAAUUUUUUUUUUAAUUAUACUUGUGUACAUUUUAUCUUCACUAAUAUAUACUUAAAACUUUUAUGUAAAAUCCAUUACAAUUUCACUAUGUAUAUACCAUACAUACAUAUGUAUAUGAAUAUAUUUGAGUACUUUUGAAAAUGAAAACUGAUAGUUUACAAUUUCGUGUUUCUUUCAGCGCAGACGCACACACGCCUUCAAGUGAUUAUACUUAUUUUGUUAUUUAUCACCUCCCUCCCACAUACAUACAUAGGAAAUAAUGUAUAGGCGCGUGUGUGUGCGUGCAGCGACAGUAGAUUUUUCAGUUUGUGCGCUGAGCAUAGGAUCAUCUGUAGUAAUACUCGAAAACGAAAGUAAAACCGAACAGAAAUGUAAUUUCGAAAAUAUGCAAAAAAAAUGUGAGACCACAUCUUUUUGAGUUCUUGCAAAUCAGAUGAUCCUGUAAGGAGUUAUUCUGCCAACGCGGGCGUAUCUUUUUUCCGAGGGUUCACUGGAAAUGGCGGCGCAAUGGCCGAGCUUAAAAUAUUUUUUCCAAAAAUUUCAGACUUUCUUUGUUAAUAGUGUAUGUUUGUAACAAUAAAAAAUUCUAAUAAAAUA
This is a long non-coding RNA of Bactrocera neohumeralis, 1330 nucleotides long. RefSeq lists it as uncharacterized. The transcript is spliced from 2 exons. Lineage: Eukaryota; Metazoa; Arthropoda; Insecta; Diptera; Tephritidae. The record is from RefSeq and is a predicted model, not a curated record.